GGAGAUCUCUGAAAAAAAGGAAUCACCCAAGAUCAAUGAAAAAGAACUGGUGAAGAUUUCUGAAAAACUAAUGAAGAUGUCCGAUGUCUGUGAAAAAGAAUUACCAAAGAUCUCUGAACAUCUAGAGAAA
Long non-coding RNA from Cyprinus carpio (common carp), 130 nucleotides. RefSeq lists it as uncharacterized. The record is from RefSeq and is a predicted model, not a curated record. NCBI's taxonomy places the organism in Eukaryota, Metazoa, Chordata, Actinopteri, Cypriniformes, Cyprinidae. The transcript has 5 exons.